GUGGGGAAUCUUGCGCAAUGGGCGAAAGCCUGACGCAGCCAUGCCGCGUGAAUGAUGAAGGUCUUAGGAUUGUAAAAUUCUUUCACCGGGGACGAUAAUGACGGUACCCGGAGAAGAAGCCCCGGCUAACUUCGUGCCAGCAGCCGCGGUAAUACGAAGGGGGCUAGCGUUGCUCGGAAUUACUGGGCGUAAAGGGCGCGUAGGCGGAUCGUUAAGUCAGGGGUGAAAUCCCAGAGCUCAACUCUGGAACUGCCCUUGAUACGGGCGAUCUUGAGUGUGAGAGAGGUAUGUGGAACUCCGAGUGUAGAGGUGAAAUUCGUAGAUAUUCGGAAGAACACCAGUGGCGAAGGCGACAUACUGGCUCAUUACUGACGCUGAGGCGCGAAAGCGUGGGGAGCAAACAGGAUUAGAAACCCGGGUAGUCC
This 425-nucleotide ribosomal RNA is filed under the name uncultured bacterium. RNAcentral describes it as "partial 16S ribosomal RNA". It matches the Rfam family "Bacterial small subunit ribosomal RNA", at positions 354 to 796 of the family's 1533-position model. The record is from RNAcentral.